This 496-nucleotide ribosomal RNA is filed under the name uncultured bacterium. RNAcentral describes it as "partial 16S ribosomal RNA". It matches the Rfam family "Bacterial small subunit ribosomal RNA", at positions 29 to 507 of the family's 1533-position model. The record is from RNAcentral.
AUGCACGCUGGCGGCGUGCCUAAUACCUGCAAGUCGCGCGAACGGACGAGAAGCUUGCUUUUCUGAUGUUAGCGGCGGACGGGUGAGUAACACGUGGAUAACCUACCUAUAAGACUGGGAUAACUUCGGGAAACCGGAGCUAAUACCGGAUAAUAUUUUGAACCGCAUGGUUCAAAAGUGAAAGACGGUCUUGCUGUCACUUAUAGAUGGAUCCGCGCUGCAUUAGCUAGUUGGUAAGGUAACGGCUUACCAAGGCAACGAUGCAUAGCCGACCUGAGAGGGUGAUCGGCCACACUGGAACUGAGACACGGUCCAGACUCCUACGGGAGGCAGCAGUAGGGAAUCUUCCGCAAUGGGCGAAAGCCUGACGGAGCAACGCCGCGUGAGUGAUGAAGGUCUUCGGAUCGUAAAACUCUGUUAUUAGGGAAGAACAUAUGUGUAAGUAACUGUGCACAUCUUGACGGUACCUAAUCAGAAAGCCACGGCUAACUACGUG